UGGGGAAUUUUGGACAAUGGGCGAAAGCCUGAUCCAGCCAUGCCGCGUGAGUGAAGAAGGCCUUCGGGUUGUAAAGCUCUUUUAGUCGGAAAGAAAGAGUUGCAAUGAAUAAUUGUGAUUUAUGACGGUACCGACAGAAAAAGCACCGGCUAACUACGUGCCAGCAGCCGCGGUAAUACGUAGGGUGCGAGCGUUAAUCGGAAUUACUGGGCGUAAAGGGUGCGCAGGCGGUCUUGCAAGUCAGAUGUGAAAGCCCCGGGCUUAACCUGGGAAUUGCGUUUGAAACUACACGUCUUGAGACCGAGAGAGGUAAGGGGAAUUCCUAGUGUAGAGGUGAAAUUCGUAGACAUUAGGAAGAACACCAGUGGCGAAGGCGCCUUACUGGCUCGGUACUGACGCUGAGGUACGAAAGCGUGGGGAGCAAACA
This 427-nucleotide ribosomal RNA is filed under the name uncultured bacterium. RNAcentral's name for it is "bacterial SSU rRNA". It matches the Rfam family "Bacterial small subunit ribosomal RNA", at positions 355 to 774 of the family's 1533-position model. The record is from RNAcentral.